UGUAAAAGAUUGAGCCAUGCACAUUGUAAGAGAGAAUAUGAAUAGACAAUUCUUUUUUGUAAAGAAGAGAAAGUGUACUAUGAGAUUGUGAACGGCUCAUUAAAUCAGCAAUAAUUUAAUCGGUGGAUGAAAGAGAUUUUGGAGACGGAAUAACUUGAAUUGGGAAAUCUAUAGCUAAUACGUGUAAAGAAAUGCAAUUUGUUAUCGUUUUUUUGGAUGAAUAGGUUGUAGCGCAUAUUAAAUAGAAAAUUUACAAAAGAAAAGAAGGUUUUUUUUUGAUUAAAAAAAUUCCAAGGAAAUCGUAAAAUUCCCCUUGGG
This 318-nucleotide ribosomal RNA is filed under the name Vexillifera bacillipedes. Its description in RNAcentral is "partial small subunit ribosomal RNA". The record is from RNAcentral. Lineage: Eukaryota; Discosea; Flabellinia; Dactylopodida; Vexilliferidae.